Long non-coding RNA from Syngnathoides biaculeatus (alligator pipefish), 595 nucleotides. RefSeq lists it as uncharacterized. The record is from RefSeq and is a predicted model, not a curated record. The transcript is spliced from 5 exons. NCBI's taxonomy places the organism in Eukaryota, Metazoa, Chordata, Actinopteri, Syngnathiformes, Syngnathidae.
GGAAGGUAGAAUACACUGGACUGGUCGCCUGUGACUUGCAAGGCACCUACAGACAAACAUCCACGCAGGCACGAGGAGAAGAUGCUAACUCCACACAGUUGGACUCGGCCGGGAUUGUAACCCCUGUCCUCAGAACUGCGAGGCCAAUGCUCUAACCACCACUCCACCUCCAUGACACGGAGAUUUUCAGCCCGGUGACAUUGUGACAACAGCACCAGAAUUGCGGUGCACCGGAGCCAAUCCCAUUUUACUGCAGAUGAAAGGUGGGCUACACCCUGAACUGGUUGCCAAUCAGUUGCAGUGCGCACAUAUGAACACCAUUACUGAGUGGGAACCGAACUCACGCUGCCUGCACUAAAAUUAGAGAGGCGGCACUGUGGCAUGACUGGUUAGAGCGUUAGCCUCACAGUUCUGAGGACCGGGCUUCAACUUCUGGCCACGCCUGUGUGGAAUUUGUAUGUUUUCCCCAUGCCUGUGUGGGUUUUCUCCAGUUAAGCCCGAAGAUGGUUGGGAUAGGUUCCAGCACUCCUGCGACCUUUGUGAGGAUAAGCGACUCAGAAAAUGGAUGAUGGACAGAUGCUUUUAGAGACCAAGG